RNAcentral lists this ribosomal RNA (297 nucleotides) under uncultured bacterium. RNAcentral describes it as "partial 16S ribosomal RNA". It matches the Rfam family "Bacterial small subunit ribosomal RNA", at positions 524 to 829 of the family's 1533-position model. The record is from RNAcentral.
UACGUAGGUGGCAAGCGUUAUCCGGAUUUACUGGGUGUAAAGGGCGUGUAGGCGGGGACGCAAGUCAGAUGUGAAAACCACGGGCUCAACCUGUGGCCUGCAUUUGAAACUGUGUUUCUUGAGUACUGGAGAGGCAGACGGAAUUCCUAGUGUAGCGGUGAAAUGCGUAGAUAUUAGGAGGAACACCAGUGGCGAAGGCGGUCUGCUGGACAGCAACUGACGCUGAGGCGCGAAAGCGUGGGGAGCAAACAGGAUUAGAAACCCUUGUAGUCCGCCUAAUGUGCCAGCCGCCGCGGU